AGGGGUUGUCUAGAGAUUUAUCGGUAUGGGAUGAGCUUGCGUCCGAUUAGCUAGUUGGCGUGGCAACGGCCCGCCAAGGCGACGAUCGGUAGCCGGCCUGAGAGGGUGAUCGGCCACAUUGGGACUGAGAUACGGCCCAGACUCCUACGGGAGGCAGCAGUAGGGAAUAUUGCACAAUGGGGGAAACCCUGAUGCAGCAACGCCACGUGUGGGAAGAAGCAUUUCGGUGUGUAAACCACUGUCGUGAGGGAAUAAUGCUUAAUUUCGGUUAAGUUGAAUGUACCUCGAAAGGAAGCACCGGCAAACUUCGUGCCAGCAGCCGCGGUAAUACGAGGGGUGCAAGCGUUGUUCGGAAUCACUGGGCGUAAAGGGAGCGUAGGCGGAGGAGCAAGCAGUCUGUACAAUGCCGGGGCCCAACCCCGGACCUGCAGACUGGACUGUUUCUCUUGGAUAGUUCAGGGGCUGGCGGAAUUCCUGGUGUAGCGGUGGAAUGCGUAGAGAUCAGGAAGAACACCGAUGGCGAAGGCAGCCAGCUGGGGACUCAUCGACGCUGAGGCUCGAAAGUGCGGGUAGCAAACAGGAUUAGAUACCCUGGUAGUCCGCACUGUAAACGAUGCAUACUGGGUGUCCGCGUUUCGACGCGGGUACCGGAGCCAACGCGUUAAGUGUACCGCCUGGGGAGUACGUACGCAAGUAUGAAACUCAAAGGAAUUGACGGGGGCCCGCACAAGCGGUGGAGCAUGUGGUUUAAUUCGAA
RNAcentral lists this ribosomal RNA (757 nucleotides) under uncultured Fibrobacter sp. RNAcentral describes it as "bacterial SSU rRNA". It matches the Rfam family "Bacterial small subunit ribosomal RNA", at positions 192 to 955 of the family's 1533-position model. Lineage: Bacteria; Pseudomonadati; Fibrobacterota; Fibrobacteria; Fibrobacterales; Fibrobacteraceae. The record is from RNAcentral.